GUUUAUCUUGUAUAUACACUUCACACGGUUUUUUGCUGAGCCAGUAGUAAACUGAUGUUUAACCACCAUCAACAAAAAAAACACAAGACUGAUUCAUCACCUAUUUCAGUCUUCAAACCCAGAUCUGCCUUUAUUGAGCAGGCUGGCACAGGAGAGAGCACAGCCAGCUGGAGGGACUGGAAGGUCACUGUGGCUGUGAUGGGCAAAGCAGUGGGGUUUGAGAGGGAGUGUGAAGCAAGACCAGUCCAGAUAUACACACAGGGGCCACAGCAUAGCUUUGCAUGCUAUGUUAAGCAAUUGUGUUUACAUCUGAAGAACAAUGGGAAGCCAAUGAUGACCUUUUGGAUCUUCAGUCAAAACGACUGCUCUAGAAAGAAGAGCUAAGUGAUGGAAAGAUUUCUGCAACCUUGGGAAGGUGUCAAUAUAUGUUAUUGACAUGCUGGAAAAGCAGCCAGAUAAAUAGGAACGACAUAUACACUUUUUCUGCAGUGUCAACAUCAUCUUCAUCAUUACUAUUACUACAAUCACCUUGAUUCAGAACCCAUCAGUCAAUGAAUGAACAACUGGAGCCUCACUAUUGGUGUGAAUAAUUUCUUUGAUAUCCACUUCUUCCAGCUUGCUGAUAGACUCUGAAGGUAUUAUCCUCAGCUCUUGGCCCAGUGAGUCUUCUGUGCAUGCUGCUGGGGGAAAUCAGCCAGAACUGCUCUGCUGGACAAGAUUCUCAGAAUAGAGGCUGCUAACAAGCCCAGAUGGCAGUUGCAGCCAUCUUGUGACUAGAAGAAGAGGAAGCUCCAUACUCAGGGGCUCCAGAACACUAGAGUCACAGUCCUGAGACACAUACCUGGAGGCUGCCCUGCGUGUGGACUUCGGUAUGUUUAAUAAUAAAUUUCUUAAUAUUUUAAGCCAGUUUUAACUGUGUGUCUUACACUUAAAGCCAAAUGUGCUCUAACUGUAAAAAGUAAGAUGGGGGAAUACUAAUUCUCAUUAUAAUCUUCUCCAACCAACUUUUAAAAAAUAAAUUCUACUGUAUAUAUUUGAGGUAUACAACACAAUGUUAUGAGAUAGUAAAACGAUUACUGUAGUAAAGCAAAUUAACAUAUUCAUCAUCUCACAUAGUUAUCUAUUUUUUAUGGCAAACACAGCUAAAAUCUACUCAUUUGGCAAAAAUCCUGAAUACAAUACAAUAUUAUUAACUAUAGUCCUCAUGCUUUAAAUUAGAUCUCUAAACUUGUUCAUCCUGCAUAUCUGCUACUUUAUAUCCUUUGAACUACAUCUUCCCAUUUUCUCCCAGCUUCCAUUGAUUUUCUUC
Molecule: long non-coding RNA, 1309 nt
Filed under: Homo sapiens (human)
Lineage: Eukaryota; Metazoa; Chordata; Mammalia; Primates; Hominidae
Description: HSALNT0179996
Source: RNAcentral